GUUCUCGUGACCUCCCUGAUCCCCGGGCUGGAAAAAGAACACGAUCCAAGAGCGGUGAGUUGACCUUUUACAGUGUCUUGAGAUUAAUGGAUUUUGUUCCCCCUGGGAAGUCUGACCUAGGUUUGCUGCCCAUCUGUCCCAGAGGGCUGUCUGUCCACAUCCACAGGGAAACCCCAGGGCUGUCCAAGGGCCAAAAGAAAGGCAGGACUGGGCCAAGAGCUGUGUUUAGGAGCCCAGCCCUCUCUGGAGGUGGUCCUCCUGCUGUCACCGAGCUUCUCUUCACAAAGACGGGAGGAGGCUUCUGAAGGUCAAGAGCAACUGGGGAGGCAUUCAGGUGAGGGCAGCUGUGCUUCCUGGGUCCACUCUGACCAGAGGGAAGAGACUGGCUAAUGGAGCCUGUUCCUGAGUGCUGGCAGCUUCAGCACCUGAGCCGGUCUGAAGGACAGAGCAGAGAGGUCGGGGAGGAGGCCGUUUAGUCAGGCUGCCUUCUCUCCUCUGCUGGGGUGGCAGAAUAAUGACCCCUCCUCAGCCACACCAAGAUGUCCCUGUUCUAGUUCCUGGAACUGGUAACCAUGUCACCUUUACAGGGCAGAAGGGACUUGGCAGAGGCAUUGAAGUUAAGGACCUAGAGAUGGGAAGAGCAUUUUGGAUUCUCCAGGCAGACCUGACAUCCUCACAGAGGUCCUCGUGAGAGGGAGGCAGGUGGGCCAGAGUCAGGGAGGGAGAUGUGACAAUGGAAGCAUAGGUCACAGUGAAGUGGCCACAAGCCAAGCUGCUAGGAGCUGGAGCAGGUGAGGAACGAAUUCUCUAAAACCUGCAGAGGGCACACAGCUCUGUGGACACUGGAUUUUAGCCCCAUAAAUCCCAUCUUAGAUUUUUUUU
This 882-nucleotide long non-coding RNA is filed under the name Marmota monax (woodchuck). The record is from RNAcentral. Lineage: Eukaryota; Metazoa; Chordata; Mammalia; Rodentia; Sciuridae.